GUGGGGAAUCUUCCGCAAUGGACGAAAGUCUGACGGAGCAACGCCGCGUGAGUGAAGAAGGUUUUCGGAUCGUAAAGCUCUUUCGUUAGGGACGAACGUGCUCUUUGUGAAUAAUGAGGAGUAAUGACGGUACCUAAAUAAGAAGCCACGGCUAACUACGUGCCAGCAGCCGCGGUAAUACGUAGGUGGCAAGCGUUGUCCGGAAUUAUUGGGCGUAAAGCGCGCGCAGGCGGGAUAUCAAGUCUGUCGUAAAAGUGCGAGGCUCAACCUCGUGAGGGGACAGAAACUGGUAUUCUUGAGUGUAGGAGAGGAAAGUGGAAUUCCAAGUGUAGCGGUGAAAUGCGUAGAGAUUUGGAAGAACACCAGUGGCGAAGGCGACUUUCUGGACGAUGUCUGACGCUGAGGCGCGAAAGCUAGGGGAGCGAACGGGAUUAGAUACCCCAGUAGUCC
This 450-nucleotide ribosomal RNA is filed under the name uncultured bacterium. Its description in RNAcentral is "partial 16S ribosomal RNA". It matches the Rfam family "Bacterial small subunit ribosomal RNA", at positions 354 to 796 of the family's 1533-position model. The record is from RNAcentral.